CACCCAACAGCUAGCCCAACACAUCAAAACCAACAAACCCCUAUUUAUAAACCCAAAGCCCCUAAUCAUAACAAAACAAACCAUUUUUCCCCCUUAGUAUGGGCGACAGAAAAGGACAAAGGCGCAAUAGAGAAAGUACCGCAAGGGAAAGCUGAAAAAGAAAUGAAACAAAUCAGUAAAGACAAAUAAAGCAGAGAUGACCCCUCGUACCUUUUGCAUCAUGAUUUAGCCAGCAAAGACCGAGCAAAACGAAUUUUAGUUCGGCCCCCCGAAACUAAGCGAGCUACUCCGAGACAGCCUAUUGCAGGGCCAACCCUUCUCUGUGGCAAAAGAGUGGGAAGAACUCCGAGUAGAGGUGAUAAACCUACCGAGCCUAGUGAUAGCUGGUUGCCUGGGAAAUGGAUAGGAGUUCAGCCUCUUAGAUUAUACCCUCACAUAGUCCUCAACCCUACCGACUAAAAGAAACUAAGAGAGUUAACUAAAGGGGGUACAGCCCCUUUAAAUAAAGAUACAACUUUAACAGAAGGUUAUAGAUCACAAAUACCAAGGACACCUGUUCUAGUGGGCUUAGAAGCAGCCACCUAUGCAAAAAGCGUUAAAGCUUAGACACCUCCUUAUUCCCAGAUCCCGAUAACACUAUCUUAACCUCUGCACAAUACCAGGCCGCCCUAUGCACACAUAGGGGUGACCAUGCUAAUAUGAGUAAUAAGAGGGCAUGCCCCUCUCCUCGCACAAGUGUAAAUCGGAACGGACCCCCGCCGAGAAUUAACGGCCCCAAAAGAAAGAGGGAAUUAGACUAACCAUCCGCCAACUAGAAAAACACCCAAAUAUAACCGUUAACCCCACACUGGUGUGCCCCAGGGAAAGACUAAAAGAAAGAGAAGGAACUCGGCAAACCCAAGCCUCGCCUGUUUACCAAAAACAUCGCCUCUUGCAAA
Molecule: ribosomal RNA, 938 nt
Filed under: Choerodon azurio (Azurio tuskfish)
Lineage: Eukaryota; Metazoa; Chordata; Actinopteri; Labriformes; Labridae
Description: partial 16S rRNA
Rfam family: Bacterial large subunit ribosomal RNA (bases 189-938)
Source: RNAcentral